GAUGAACGCUGGCGGCGUGCCUAAUACAUGCAAGUCGAGCGAACAGACGAGGAGCUUGCUCCUCUGACGUUAGCGGCGGACGGGUGAGUAACACGUGGAUAACCUACCUAUAAGACUGGGAUAACUUCGGGAAACCGGAGCUAAUACCGUAUAAUAUAUUGAACCGCAUGGUUCAAUAGUGAAAGACGGUUUUGCUGUCACUUAUAGAUGUAUCCGCGCCGCAUUAGCUAGUUGGUAAGGUAACGGCUUACCAAGGCAACGAUGCGUAGCCGACCUGAGAGGGUGAUCGGCCACACUGGAACUGAGACACGGUCCAGACUCCUACGGGAGGCAGCAGUAGGGAAUCUUCCGCAAUGGGCGAAAGCUUGACGGAGCAACGCCGCGUGAGUGAUGAAGGUCUUCGGAUCGUAAAACUCUGUUAUUAGGGAAGAACAAAUGUGUAAGUAACUAUGCACGUCUUGACGGUACCUAAUCAGAAAGCCACGGCUAAGUACGUG
RNAcentral lists this ribosomal RNA (497 nucleotides) under uncultured bacterium. Its description in RNAcentral is "partial 16S ribosomal RNA". It matches the Rfam family "Bacterial small subunit ribosomal RNA", at positions 28 to 507 of the family's 1533-position model. The record is from RNAcentral.